GUUUUGCCACCCGACCCAAUGCCAAGUCAUGAGGUGAGAGUAGCUAAAAGAUGAAACAAGCUUUGGAGAAGCAAGGCAUAUUUUCUUUGGUUUGUGGGACAACCCGUGGCUAACUGCAAUGGCUCGUUGAGCAAACCAUGAUUUAAACAAGGGUUUCCCUCCCUUUUGGGGUCCAGGGACACAUUUGGAAAAAUAAUAAAUUGUCAAUGUCGCCACAAAAUAUCUGUGACAUCACAGACACAAGCAAAACAAACAAGCAACACCCCCCUCAAAACACGGGCAAUUAAAAAAACAAAACAAAACAGGCACUGCACACACGGCAUAAAACAUGCCCCCACAAAAUAGCAGGCACUGUUCCCCACCGAACAGAAAACACAUACAACCAAAAGCACUCCAUACCCAAGCAGCCAACAACAAAAAAGCACCCAACAAUUUCAAGUCAGGUAACACUUAUACACUUCCUCAAAACAAAAUUUCCAGGAAAAUGUGCACCCUGGCUCUCUCUUGCUUCCCCCAAAUGAACGGUUCAUCAACAGCGUUUGUAUUUUUCUUCUCCAAAGAGUUUUCUAGCAGGUAGCUGGAAGGCCAGAUACUGGCCUCUUUCCUUUCCUUGGAAGAAUGCUUCUGACUCCAUAUUGGGGACCCUCAACUGUGGCUUAGCAUUUUUCGUGAACCAGACACCUAACCAGGCUGUCUCUUUUGCUGCGGACCUGCACUAGUAGAACCAUAUCAAAAAGAAGAAGAUACACUUUUGUCACUAUUUUGAUUUCAAUAAUAAUGUGAAUCGACCAGGGCACCACUGUACAACACUUCCUUUAGAAUUGUGAGAUAAAGAGAAACUUACAUUAG
Molecule: non-coding RNA, 849 nt
Organism: Podarcis lilfordi (Lilford's wall lizard)
Lineage: Eukaryota; Metazoa; Chordata; Lepidosauria; Squamata; Lacertidae
Source: the annotation of a GenBank genome assembly